Molecule: ribosomal RNA, 729 nt
Filed under: uncultured bacterium
Lineage: Bacteria
Description: bacterial SSU rRNA
Rfam family: Bacterial small subunit ribosomal RNA
Source: RNAcentral
GGAAUACGAUAUGUAGCGGUGAAAUGCAUAGAUAUAUCGUAGAACACCGAUUGCGAAGGCAGCUUACUAAGCCAAUAUUGACGCUGAUGGACGAAAGCGUGGGGAGCGAACAGGAUUAGAUACCCUGGUAGUCCACGCCGUAAACGAUGAUUACUCGUUGUGCGCGAUACACAGUGCGCGACUGAGCGAAAGCAUUAAGUAAUCCACCUGGGGAGUACGUUGGCAACAAUGAAACUCAAAGGAAUUGUCGGGGGCCCGCACAAGCGGAGGAACAUGUGGUUUAAUUCGAUGAUACGCGAGGAACCUUACCUGGGCUUAAAUGCAGUUUGACCGAUCUGGAAACGGAUCUUCUCUUCGGAGCAAAUUACAAGGUGCUGCAUGGUUGUCGUCAGCUCGUGCCGUGAGGUGUCGGGUUAAGUCCCAUAACGAGCGCAACCCCUAUCGUUAGUUGCUAGCAGGUAAUGCUGAGGACUCUAGCGAGACUGCCACCGUAAGGUGAGAGGAAGGUGGGGAUGACGUCAAAUCAGCACGGCCCUUACGUCCAGGGCUACACACGUGUUACAAUGGCUAGUACAAAGGGCAGCUACCUGGUGACAGGAUGCUAAUCUCAAAAGCUAGUCUCAGUUCGGAUCGGAGUCUGCAACUCGACUCCGUGAAGUUGGAUUCGCUAGUAAUCGUAUAUCAGCAAUGAUACGGUGAAUACGUUCCCGGGCCUUGUACACACCGCCC